AUGAACGCUGGCGGCGUGCCUAAUCCCUGCCAGUCGCACGCUGGAGAUCUAGCUUGCUAGCUCGAAGGAGUGGCGAACGGGUGAGUAAUACAUAAGCAACCUACCCACGAAGACUGGGAUAAUCUCUGGAAACGGGGACUAAUACCGGAUAGGUAAUCGGAAGGCAUCUUCUGGUUAUUAAAGGUUAAAAACACUGGUGGAUGGGCUUAUGGCGCAUUAGUUAGUUGGUGAGGUAACGGCCCACCAAGACGAUGAUGCGUAGCCGGCCUGAGAGGGUGAACGGCCACAUUGGGACUGAGACACGGCCCAGACUCCUACGGGAGGCAGCAGUAGGGAAUUUUCGGCAAUGGGGGCAACCCUGACCGAGCAACGCCGCGUGAAUGAAGACGGCCUUCGGGUUGUAAAGCUCUGUUGUAAGGGAAGAACGGUAGAUAGAGAAUAUCUAAGUGACGGUACCUUACCAGAAAGCCACGGCUAACUACGUG
Molecule: ribosomal RNA, 485 nt
Filed under: uncultured bacterium
Lineage: Bacteria
Description: partial 16S ribosomal RNA
Rfam family: Bacterial small subunit ribosomal RNA
Source: RNAcentral